Molecule: ribosomal RNA, 253 nt
Filed under: uncultured bacterium
Lineage: Bacteria
Description: partial 16S ribosomal RNA
Rfam family: Bacterial small subunit ribosomal RNA
Source: RNAcentral
UACGUAGGGUGCUAGCGUUGUCCGGAAUCAUUGGGCGUAAAGAGCGUGUAGGCGGCCCGGUAAGUCCGCUGUAAAAGUCAAAGGCUCAACCUUUGAAUGUCAGUGGAUACUGCCGGGCUAGAGUCCGGAAGAGGCGAGUGGAACUCCUGGAGUAGCGGUGGAAUGCGCAGAUAUCAGGAAGAACACCAACGGCGAAGGCAGCUCGCUGGGACGGUACUGACGCUGAGACGCGAAAGCGUGGGGAGCGAACAGG